UGGGGAAUUUUGGACAAUGGGCGCAAGCCUGAUCCAGCCAUGCCGCGUGAGUGAAGAAGGCCUUCGGGUUGUAAAGCUCUUUCGGCCGGGAAAAAAUCGCCUGCUUGAAUAGAGUGGGUGGAUGAUGGUACCGGAACAAGAAGCACCGGCUAACUACGUGCCAGCAGCCGCGGUAAUACGUAGGGUGCGAGCGUUAAUCGGAAUUACUGGGCGUAAAGCGUGCGCAGGCGGUUUUGUAAGACAGGCGUGAAAUCCCCGGGCUCAACCUGGGAAUGGCGCUUGUGACUGCAAGACUAGAGUACGGCAGAGGGGGGUGGAAUUCCACGUGUAGCAGUGAAAUGCGUAGAGAUGUGGAGGAACACCGAUGGCGAAGGCAGCCCCCUGGGCCGAUACUGACGCUCAUGCACGAAAGCGUGGGGAGCAAACAGG
RNAcentral lists this ribosomal RNA (429 nucleotides) under uncultured bacterium. Its description in RNAcentral is "bacterial SSU rRNA". It matches the Rfam family "Bacterial small subunit ribosomal RNA", at positions 355 to 776 of the family's 1533-position model. The record is from RNAcentral.